GCGGCGGACGGGUGAGUAACACGUGGGCAACCUGCCUGUAAGACUGGGAUAACUCCGGGAAACCGGGGCUAAUACCGGAUAAUUCAUUCCCUCACAUGAGGGAAUGCUGAAAGACGGUCUUCCGGCUGUCACUUACAGAUGGGCCCGCGGCGCAUUAGCUAGUUGGUGAGGUAACGGCUCACCAAGGCCACGAUGCGUAGCCGACCUGAGAGGGUGAUCGGCCACACUGGGACUGAGACACGGCCCAGACUCCUACGGGAGGCAGCAGUAGGGAAUCUUCCGCAAUGGACGAAAGUCUGACGGAGCAACGCCGCGUGAGCGAAGAAGGCCUUCGGGUCGUAAAGCUCUGUUGUCAGGGAAGAACAAGUACCGGAGUAACUGCCGGUACCUUGACGGUACCUGACCAGAAAGCCACGGCUAACUACGUGCCAGCAGCC
This 437-nucleotide ribosomal RNA is filed under the name Mesobacillus foraminis. RNAcentral's name for it is "bacterial SSU rRNA". It matches the Rfam family "Bacterial small subunit ribosomal RNA", at positions 95 to 516 of the family's 1533-position model. Lineage: Bacteria; Bacillati; Bacillota; Bacilli; Caryophanales; Bacillaceae. The record is from RNAcentral.